UAUUAGAGACGAAUUUUUAGACAGGUACUAUAAGCAUCUCAAACUUCAGAUGGACGUAUUGCUAAAAAUUUGUCUGUAAAUAACACUUGAGAUGAAAUUGUUAUGGAGAGGACAUUAACCUCGACAACAGAUCAGUCAACAAUAGACCUGUCAAAAAUCGACCCGAUCCGAAAACCGACCCGAACCCGACCCGAAAAAAGCGGGUCCUGAACAAGAUUUUUCGACCUGUAACCCGUUUUUAUCCGAACCCGAACAACCCAAAAUUUUCGGGUCAGAAACGGGUUGGGUUCGGUCUGACCCGUCGGGUUUAGGGGUUAAAUGAAAAAUUAAGUUUUUUUAAAAAAAAAAUUGAAAAAACAACCUAAAAUCCUAAAAACCCUAAAACUAAACUAUCAGAUUCUGGAGCCGCCGACCAAACACCCAUCUUUCUUUCUCUCUCUCAUCCUCUCAUUCUCUCUGAGUCUCUGGUUUAUCGGCAAGGCGACCAUGGGUCAGACGGUCGAACUCUCGUCCUCCCUUCUAUAAGCGAGGAGGUUCUCCAUCAGGGUGUAUACCCUUUCCUCGUGGUCAAUCAAUUUUUUCAUCCUCUUCAUCUCCCACUACUCAAGAAGGUUUCUUCAAAGUAACUCUCAUGUCAAAUACUGGUUUGCCUUUGAAAAAAAAAAGGCGUUGUAAAAAAAGGCACUAAAAAAGCUCUAAACCCGUUGGGUCAACCCGAACCCGAACACUCUGGGUCCUGAACAAGCAUUUGUCAACCCGAACCCGAAAGUGACCGAACCGUUAAAACCCGAACCCGAAAGUGACCGACUCUGACCCGACCCGACCCGUUUGACAGGUCUAGUCAACAAGGGUUAUUGGGCCUAGCUGAGGCAGCCUAGUCAACCCUUUAUGUCUAAAAUUUCUGAAUUCAAUAAUUCUACGCGUACGGAGUUUCAAAAUUUCCGUCUAAAAUUUGUAACGAACUUGUCCAAGGUCCGUCUUAAGAAUAUUUUGGUAUGAUCUCUACGUGGAUAUUUUAUGUCAUUUCUAAUCAAUAUUCUGAGACAGAUUUGGACUAAGGACAAAUUGUUUUCUACCACCUAAAAAAAUCGAAAAAAUAUUUUUUACCAUCUAAAAAAUUAAAACUUGUAUUUUACUACCUAAAAAAUUAAAACUUAUUUUUUACCCCCUGAAAACGAUAAAAUAGAUAAAACCUUUAUGUGUUGCUAACCAAUACAAUUUACCUCCAAUUUUUUUACUCUUUGUGUGAUUUUAUUUAACUCUUUCACCCUUCUAUCUUUACUUUCAUUAAAUUUUGUCAUUUUUGUGAAUUAAUAUUAGUGAAAAAUUAUGUUAAUUCAUUGAAGAUAAGGGAGCUAGGAAAGAAAAGCGAGGUAAAUACAUGAAAUCGUGAAAGAAAACAACAUAUCAUAAACAUUAUCGUUAUUGUGUCCCCCCACAGGCCCACAUACCAUUUUCAUCUAUUCCAUUUUCCAAGUGGUAAAAAACAUUUUUUUUUAAAAAAAAAAUUAGGUGAUUAUUUUUUACUCCAGUUGGUAAAAAACAAAUUUUAAAUUUAUUUAGGUGUUAAAAAAUAAUUUAUUCUUGGACUAAUUAGAGACAAAAUUCUUCUUCUACAUAAACGGAUUGUUUUGCAGUGUUAUCUAUUCGAUAAGCAACUAUCAUAAAUUUGUACACAUUUGUUCAUAGAUUUUGCAUGUAAACAACGUUUUAAGAAAGAAUGAAACAUCAUACAUACCUGAGAUAGCCAAUGGAGGCUAUAUGAAGAAUGCACAAAAUGCAAGUGGUUUGAGGGAAAAAGCCUUCCAUAGAAGGAGCCAGGUACACCAUUCACAAAACAAUGCCCAAAAUCAUCUCCUAAUUGUUGCUUGAGCUUAUCCUUAAAGCUUGAUAAUGACUGAAAAAUUGUAUUGAAAUCAUUCUUUGGAAGAUCAUUCAAGUAAACUUGAUACUCUACCGGCCCGUUUCCGAUGUCUCGACGAGCAUCUUCAACGGUUUCUAUGAGGUCGGAAACCACGCUUAAGGUGUUCGACUCUGAAGAGGAACAACCCAAGUCUGCUAUGCAUAUGGUUGCCGGAUGUUCUCUGCAAUAGAGUUCUCUUAUGGCCUUUUCUUUCACCAGUUUUGUUAAUGACAACACCUGUUUCUGUUAAUUACAUGAAUAAUUUUUUUAGGUUUUGACAUGAAUUUUUGUGUUAAAUCUUGGCUCAACCCGAAUUUUAAUUGCCUUUAAUUUAACCUGAUUUAUAUCCUAAUAAAUGAAAAAAAAACUCGGAUAUUUCUUUUAUUAAUUUUUUUUUUGACAUACAGUAAAAUUUAUUAUUAUUAAUACAGCCAUUGUAAUAGCGUAAUAGGAACAUAUAAGUCUUGCCAAAAAAAAGCAACAUAUAAGUACGUGACGUGAUACGUGAUAUCAGUGAUAUGUGUUUCAUUGUUUGACUAUUUAUAUUGGAAAUGUUUGUCGCUCACUACCUAACAAACGAGGAAUGAUAUGUGUCUAACGUUUGUAUAUAGUUCUAUUAAAAUCUAUCAACAAAAAAGGGGAAAGGAAAUGAAAUACUCCCUCCGUCUCGAAAUACUCGACUCGGUUUGACCGGUACAGAGUUUAAGGGACUUGAAUUUACUUAUUUAAUUUAAUAGGUAGUAGUUGAUAGUGGGGUAUUAUUUUAAUGUAGUUAGUGGGAAAUGUGUAAAGGGGUGGGGUUGGGGGAGAGUAGGGGUUGAAUUUUUAAUUAUUUUUUCUAUGGAGUAGGGGGUAUGUGGGUUAAUAGGGGUGGAGUGAGAAAUAAUAUAAUAUUGUUAGAAUAUUUUCAUUUUUAGAAACAGGUCAAGUAUUAAGGGACGACCGAAUAAGGAAAACAGGUCAAGUAUUCCGGGCGGAGGGAGUAGAAUAUUUUUUUUUUUUAUUCAGCUGAGGCAAAGCCUAAUGAAAGAAAAACGUAUAGGAAUUAAAAGGUACUAAAGCAAACAAACAGAAAGCCAAAUUAAAGGAAGUAAAAUCAAGGAGGGAGGCUACAUCGCUGGUUACCAGCGAUGUAUGUGCCCCAUACCCACCAAAAAAAAAGUGAAAAGAAAAUAAAUUACAAUGAUGGCCCACCCCUUAAAUAAAUGGUAAAAUUGUUGCGAACUUGCUAUAUACUGUCAAUGGUUAGAUAAAUACUGUCAUUAUUGUGUAUAUACUGUCAUUGUUGUAUUAAAAUUUGUCAUAAUCAUCCAAAAAGAAGAAAACGAAAUGAAACAAAAAUAGUAAAGGGACCACUUAAAUGACUGGAUAAACGUGUUAGAUAAAUACUGUCAUUAUUGUGUAUAUACUGUCAUUGUUGUAUUAAAAUUUGUCAUAAUCAUCCAAAAAGAAGAAAACGAAAUGAAAUAAAAAUAGUAAAGGGACCACUUAAAU
This is a long non-coding RNA of Spinacia oleracea (spinach), 3397 nucleotides long. RefSeq lists it as uncharacterized. The transcript has 3 exons. NCBI's taxonomy places the organism in Eukaryota, Viridiplantae, Streptophyta, Magnoliopsida, Caryophyllales, Amaranthaceae. The record is from RefSeq and is a predicted model, not a curated record.